Long non-coding RNA from Glycine soja, 1846 nucleotides. RefSeq lists it as uncharacterized. The transcript has 4 exons. The record is from RefSeq and is a predicted model, not a curated record. NCBI's taxonomy places the organism in Eukaryota, Viridiplantae, Streptophyta, Magnoliopsida, Fabales, Fabaceae.
UUCAGUUACCUAAAAUUAAGAAAUUUUAAUUCCCGACUAAAAAGGAGAGAAUUUGAAAAUUUUUGCGUUGGCUCAUCCGAUCCUUCCUCACACUCUCGCCCCACCCUCCCUCACUAUCACUUUCGCACAUGUUUUAGAUUCAAAAUAUUCGUGCACAUAAACACAAUGCUCCCCCCUGUCGGUGGAGGAUUUGGCGUCCCUGCCGUUGCUAGACAUGGCGGCGGAGAAGCGAAUCGAGGGGCUGGCGAUGAAGGUCGGAGAGAAUCUUUUCAAUUUCAUGCAAUCAUUUUGCGGUGUGGAUGGGUGGAAACUGGCAGUCCAAUUUUGAAAGAAAGCAAAAGAAAAUGGUUCGAUGGAAACCGGGUCGAGUUUGGAGUUCUUAGAUAGAAGGAAGGCUAUGAGGGGUGGCACUGGCAAGAGACAUGAUGUUGUUAAUGAUGCAAAGUUGAGCCUUUUGUGGCAAGAAGUGAUCAUAAUCCUAAAGAGUUGAAGUCAUGGGCAAAGAGAACUGGGUUUGUGUCUGAUUACUCUGGGGAAGCUGGGACUAGUGCUAGUGAGAAUUUUGAUGGUGUUGAUGAUCAGAGAGAAGGAGGGUCCCCUCCAAAGAUAGAGAUUGAUCUGGUGCUGGGAUUGGCGAGGCCUAAUUGAGACAAUGAGAUUAAACCAGUCUUUGUGACCGAGCAUGGAGACAUGAGGGGUGAGAAUGAGAGAGUUUUGAGGUAAAAGGAUGUGUGGAAUGGUGCAGUGGGGAGCCAAAAUCAGAAGAGGAAAAUUGGGGAUGAGCCUGCUUUGCCUUUGGCUGGUGAUGGUGACAAGAAAAUUGGGUUAAGAGGGAAUGGAGAUGCUAAUGGAAUGACAGUGAGCACGAAUCGUGAUAUUAAUAGUCAUGGAGUUCCUACAGUUGCUCCUCUGCUAGAGCAGAAGAAGGAAGAGGAAGGGGUAGCUGAAGAUGUGAAGGUGAAUCUUUUUCCAGAGGGGGAGGAACCUGUUGGUAGAGGGUGGCAGGGAGCAUCUGGAUUGAAGUACGAGAUCACAAAAAAUCCGGGUCUUGCUUAGUUUGAGUUUAAUUUUAUGUUUCUCACGUCUAAGUUAGAGUGCUAAUUUUGGAUAAUUCUGAAAUAGUCUGAUUGGUUUAACUUGAAUUUGGUUACUAAAAUUCAAUGUCUUAACAGUUAUGCCUUAGCCUGAUGGUAAUAUAGUAUAUUCUAAUCAAUUUCAUUAAUCAUAUGAUCUUUGAAUGGCAUAGUAUUAUUUUUUCUGCAUUCUAACUUUCUGGUAUGUAGUAAUGUUACUAGCUUCUGUGUUUGGGUAUUCACAAAUCACAAGACCAACAACAGUUUGUUCAAUUAUAAGCUGGAGAUUGAUCCUCAAGUUUAAGUCCACGCGUUAUGAAUUUUAAUAAUUACCUCUUAUCUAUUACGGCUUGCAGCACUACCUUUCAUUGGCUCGCUCGUAUUAAUCCCAUUAAUCAUGGCACCAACCAUGGGUGGAACAGAUGUAACUGAAGCAAUAGAAGGCAUAAUUAGAAAAAGGUGAAGCGUGUGAUGCUUCUAACAUGUCAUUUGAAUACUUGGUGGAAGAUGAGGAUGGAAAAGGGUCAAUGUAGAGAGUAAUGGGGAGUGGGUCGUACCUAAUAUAUGCAUCUGAAAAUGGCUACUACUCUAAACAAAAAGGAUUGGAGAAUGGUCAAUGUUGAAGGAUUAGAAAAAUAAAUUUCAUGUGGUCUUCCUUUCUUCAGUGAUGACUGAUGAAGGAGGUACAUGGUUUGGAGAUGGUAGAUUUUCAACAAAUAUGAAUUGAAUUGUUAAAAUAUUACAUAUACAAUGAGUUUUUGAAUGAAAAAACU